GUUGCUAUGAUUAUUUACUUUUACCAAUUGUUCCGACUGAAUGGAAAUUCCAAAUGUCGACAAAUUGUAUCUCGUUAAGUUUCAGCCUUGUAUGAGCUCC
RNAcentral lists this small nucleolar RNA (100 nucleotides) under Komagataella phaffii GS115. The record is from RNAcentral. Lineage: Eukaryota; Fungi; Ascomycota; Pichiomycetes; Pichiales; Pichiaceae.